GUCUGCGGCCACAGCACCCUGAACGCGCCCCAUCUCGUCUGAUCUCGGAAGCUAAGCAGGGUCGGGCCUGGCUAGUACCUGGAUGGGAGACCGCCUGGGGAUACCGGGUGCUACAGGCC
Molecule: ribosomal RNA, 119 nt
Filed under: Sorex araneus (European shrew)
Lineage: Eukaryota; Metazoa; Chordata; Mammalia; Eulipotyphla; Soricidae
Source: RNAcentral